Molecule: ribosomal RNA, 2112 nt
Filed under: human gut metagenome
Description: bacterial LSU rRNA
Rfam family: Bacterial large subunit ribosomal RNA
Source: RNAcentral
AUUCCAAUCGAACCCGGAGAUAGCUGGUUCUCCCCGAAAUAGCUUUAGGGCUAGCCUCGAGGUAGAGAGUAUAGGCGGUAGAGCACUGAUCGGGCUAGGGGCCAUACCGGUUACCGAACCUAGUCAAACUACGAAUGGCUAUACUUAUACUCGGGAGUCAGACAGUGAAUGAUAAGGUCCAUUGUCAAGAGGGAAACAGCCCAGAACACCGACUAAGGUCCCCAAUGUUACACUAAGUGGCGAAGGAUGUGGAAUUUCCAAAACAACCAGGAUGUUGGCUUAGAAGCAGCCACCAUUUAAAGAGUGCGUAAUAGCUCACUGGUCGAGAGACCCUGCGCCGAAGAUUACCGGGGCUAAAGUACGAAACCGAAGCUGUGGCUACGACGUAAGUCGUGGGGUAGGGGAGCGUUCUGUGAGGGCUGAAGUCGUUCUGUAAGGAACGGUGGACUUCACAGAAGUGAGAAUGUUGGUAUGAGUAGCGAAAAGAAUGGUGAGAAUCCAUUCCACCGAAAGCAUAAGGAUUCCUGGGCAACGAUCGUCGUCCCAGGGUAAGUCGGGACCUAAUCCGAGGCAUGGAGCGUAGGAGAUGGACAACUGGCAGAUAUUCCAGUACCGGUAAUGAUUGUUUGAGCGAUGGAGUGACACAGGAGGGCAGGCAGGCAGGAGAUUGGUUGUUCCUGUACAAGCGUGUAGGAUGGGACGUAGGCAAAUCCGCGUCCUGUGAGUCUGAGGCGUGAUGUGGAGGUUCCGGAAACGGAACUGAAGCUGCUGACCCCACACUGUCGAGAAAAGCUUCUAGUUAGAGAAUUACCGCCCGUACCGUAAACCGACACAGGUAUGCGGGGAGAGAAUCCUAAGGUGCGCGGGAGAACCCUCGUUAAGGAACUCGGCAAAAUGUACCCGUAACUUCGGGAUAAGGGUAGCCGCUGUUGUGAAGUCUGAACAGAUGGAGCAUGAGGCGGUCGCAGAGAAGAGGCCCAAGCGACUGUUUACCACAAACACAGGUGCCUGCUAAAGAGAAAUCUGACGUAUAGGUGCUGACACCUGCCCAGUGCCGGAAGGUUAAGGAAGGAUGUCCGGAGCAAUCCAAAGCAUUCGACCGAAGCCCCGGUGAACGGCGGCCGUAACUAUAACGGUCCUAAGGUAGCGAAAUUCCUUGUCGGGUAAGUUCCGACCCGCACGAAAGGUGUAACGAUUUGGGCACUGUCUCAACGAGGGACCCGGUGAAAUUGAAGUACCUGUGAAGAUGCAGGUUACCCGCGACUGGACAGAAAGACCCCAUGGAGCUUUACUGUAACCUGACAUUGGGUUCUGAUACAUCACGUACAGGAUAGGUGGGAGGCAUGGAAGCGAGGACGCUAGUCUUCGUGGAGCCGCCGUUGGGAUACCACCCUUGAUGUAUCGGAAUUCUAACCGUAGGAGUAACGAAACUCGGGACAGUGUCAGGCGGGCAGUUUGACUGGGGCGGUCGCCUCCCAAAGAGUAACGGAGGCGCCCAAAGGUUCCCUCAGCGCGGCCGGAAAUCGCGCGAAGAGUGUAAAGGCAGAAGGGAGCUUGACUGAGAGCCAAACACGGCGAUCAGGUACGAAAGUAGGGCUUAGUGAUCCGGUGGCAUCCAAGUGGAAGGGCCAUCGCUCAACGGAUAAAAGCUACCCUGGGGAUAACAGGCUAAUCUCUCCCAAGAGUCCAUAUCGACGGGGAGGUUUGGCACCUCGAUGUCGGCUCAUCACAUCCUGGGGCUGAAGUCGGUCCCAAGGGUUGGGCUGUUCGCCCAUUAAAGUGGUACGUGAGCUGGGUUCAGAACGUCGUGAGACAGUUCGGUCCCUAUCCAUCGCGGGCGCAAGAGAUUUGAAGGGGGCUGCUCCUAGUACGAGAGGACCGGAGUGGACGAACCAAUGGUGUACCAAUUAUCUCGCCAGAGGUAUAGUUGGGUAGCUACGUUCGGAAAGGAUAAACGCUGAAAGCAUCUAAGCGUGAAACCAGCCUUAAGAUGAGAUCUCUCAUAGAGUAAUCUAGUAAGACACCUUGGAGAAGACGAGGUUGAUAGGUCGGGAGUGUAAGUACAGUAAUGUAUUCAGCGGACCGAUACUAAUAUGUCGAGGGCUUGACUUA